Molecule: ribosomal RNA, 1451 nt
Filed under: uncultured organism
Description: SSU rRNA
Rfam family: Bacterial small subunit ribosomal RNA
Source: RNAcentral
UGAACGCUAGCUACAGGCUUAACACAUGCAAGUCGAGGGGCAGCAUGGUCUUAGCUUGCUAAGGCCGAUGGCGACCGGCGCACGGGUGAGUAACACGUAUCCAACCUGCCGUCUACUCUUGGACAGCCUUCUGAAAGGAAGAUUAAUACAAGAUGGCAUCAUGAGUCCGCAUGUUCACAUGAUUAAAGGUAUUCCGGUAGACGAUGGGGAUGCGUUCCAUUAGAUAGUAGGCGGGGUAACGGCCCACCUAGUCUUCGAUGGAUAGGGGUUCUGAGAGGAAGGUCCCCCACAUUGGAACUGAGACACGGUCCAAACUCCUACGGGAGGCAGCAGUGAGGAAUAUUGGUCAAUGGGCGAGAGCCUGAACCAGCCAAGUAGCGUGAAGGAUGACUGCCCUAUGGGUUGUAAACUUCUUUUAUAAAGGAAUAAAGUCGGGUAUGGAUACCCGUUUGCAUGUACUUUAUGAAUAAGGAUCGGCUAACUCCGUGCCAGCAGCCGCGGUAAUACGGAGGAUCCGAGCGUUAUCCGGAUUUAUUGGGUUUAAAGGGAGCGUAGAUGGAUGUUUAAGUCAGUUGUGAAAGUUUGCGGCUCAACCGUAAAAUUGCAGUUGAUACUGGAUAUCUUGAGUGCAGUUGAGGCAGGCGGAAUUCGUGGUGUAGCGGUGAAAUGCUUAGAUAUCACGAAGAACUCCGAUUGCGAAGGCAGCCUGCUAAGCUGCAACUGACAUUGAGGCUCGAAAGUGUGGGUAUCAAACAGGAUUAGAUACCCUGGUAGUCCACACGGUAAACGAUGAAUACUCGCUGUUUGCGAUAUACAGCAAGCGGCCAAGCGAAAGCGUUAAGUAUUCCACCUGGGGAGUACGCCGGCAACGGUGAAACUCAAAGGAAUUGACGGGGGCCCGCACAAGCGGAGGAACAUGUGGUUUAAUUCGAUGAUACGCGAGGAACCUUACCCGGGCUUAAAUUGCAGAUGAAUUACGGUGAAAGCCGUAAGCCGCAAGGCAUCUGUGAAGGUGCUGCAUGGUUGUCGUCAGCUCGUGCCGUGAGGUGUCGGCUUAAGUGCCAUAACGAGCGCAACCCUUGUUGUCAGUUACUAACAGGUUCCGCUGAGGACUCUGACAAGACUGCCAUCGUAAGAUGUGAGGAAGGUGGGGAUGACGUCAAAUCAGCACGGCCCUUACGUCCGGGGCUACACACGUGUUACAAUGGGGGGUACAGAGGGCCGCUACCACGCGAGUGGAUGCCAAUCCCCAAAACCUCUCUCAGUUCGGACUGGAGUCUGCAACCCGACUCCACGAAGCUGGAUUCGCUAGUAAUCGCGCAUCAGCCACGGCGCGGUGAAUACGUUCCCGGGCCUUGUACACACCGCCCGUCAAGCCAUGGGAGCCGGGGGUACCUGAAGUGCGUAACCGCGAGGAGCGCCCUAGGGUAAAACUGGUGACUGGGGCUAAG